AUAUAUAUAUAUAUAGGUUGCUGUAUGUCUUUAUUAAGCAUAUUGCCUUUACAUAUACCAAAUGACAUUGUGAAAUAACCGAAUGAAAGAAUAGAUUGUUUUGUUUAAAAAUAAUCUUUAAUUUUGUAGGGGGGGGUCUUCUUCCCCUUGUAGGUAGAGAGAGAGUGUGUGUGUGUGUGAGAGAGAGAGAGAGAGAGAGAGAGAGAGAGAGAGAGAUGCUAAGGGAUGAGGCGUAAAAAAAGAAAAACAGACAUGCUGGACUCAUCUCGUCUCUGGCAUGCGAAACAGAAACAAGAUCAGCGAGCGAGGAUGCGCCUCCCAGUCGAAGCCCCUGAGUCCGCCUCGUGAUGCAGUCUCCAUAGCGACUACAGUUUCCUGGGAAGGAAGGAACUCAUAGAGGUUUCCGCUGAUGGGCGUCAAUAUCACACAAUCAGCUGAGCUGUGGCCCUAUUCCAAACAGUGAAAGCAACACAGUUUUAAAGAUCUUUCAAAUAGAUCCACGCCGUGCCUAGGACUGUUCAUCAACCAUUCCACUGAAAAGGAGGCUUUCAAAGCACAGGAACAAGCCCAUAUGAGGACAGAGCGAUGAAGUCCACAUCACUCUGUAUUGUCCUCUCUGCCAGAUCAACAUUCUAGAAGUGGCCUUUUUCUCUGGAUAUACUGCCAGGCCGAAUCUAGAUUACCAGUGAGAAGAUAUCUUUGUACCACUCAAGAUGGCAGCUGUGAACCUUUGAAAUAGUUGGACAGAAGCUGACCAUCUUUGUAACUGUCCACUGCUGUAGGACAUAUAUACUGAGGAUUUUGAUGUGUCCUUCAUGUAUUCAGAGUUUGUGAUGUUAUCAAACCAGAUGUCUGCGUAUGAAUUUGUCAUCAUUAAGACACUGCCUACUUACUGGCUAUAUAAUUCACUGCCUAUUUAUUGACUAUAUUAGACAUUCCAAUCACUGAAAAUAUUAAACUUUAUGAUGCGCUGCACUAAUAAAAGAAAUGGGUUGUCAGAGCAACGCGAAGAGAAAAAACA
Long non-coding RNA from Pygocentrus nattereri (red-bellied piranha), 1021 nucleotides. RefSeq lists it as uncharacterized. The record is from RefSeq and is a predicted model, not a curated record. The transcript has 3 exons. NCBI's taxonomy places the organism in Eukaryota, Metazoa, Chordata, Actinopteri, Characiformes, Serrasalmidae.